GCUGGUGUAAAUGAUGACUUUUCACUUUUUUCCCCAUCAGAUCGACAAUGCUGACGUCUUAUAUUUUGCCAGUUAGUUCUGAUACAUCGGC
This is a small nucleolar RNA of Cercocebus atys (sooty mangabey), 91 nucleotides long. Ensembl annotates it as small nucleolar RNA, C/D box 12C. Its record names the gene SNORD12C. The record is from Ensembl. NCBI's taxonomy places the organism in Eukaryota, Metazoa, Chordata, Mammalia, Primates, Cercopithecidae.